RNAcentral lists this long non-coding RNA (2574 nucleotides) under Mus musculus (house mouse). RNAcentral describes it as "long non-coding RNA chr15:99102171-99104745". The record is from RNAcentral. Lineage: Eukaryota; Metazoa; Chordata; Mammalia; Rodentia; Muridae.
AGAGGGCAUCAGAUCCCAUUACAGAUGGUUGUGAGCCACCAUGUGGUUGCUGGGAAUUGAUCUCAGGACCUCUAGAAAAGCAAUCAGUGCUCUUAACCGCUUAGCCAUCUCUCUAGCCUUUUUUUUUUCUUCUUCUUCUUCUUCUUCUUUUUUUUUAAAGACAGGUUCUUACUGUGCAUCCUUUAGCUGGCCUAAACCAGGAUAAUAUGGAGACCCAGGCUGGCCUCAGUUUGUAUUCCUCCUGCCUCUGUAUCAUGAAUGAAUAUUAGCAAGAAGUACCACCUGUCAGCUAGAUGAGUUUUCAGUUAGUUUCUUUCUUUGUUUCUUUCUUUCUUUCCCUCAUUAUUUAUUUUUUUUAUUUAUUUAUUUAGUUUUUUGAGACAGGGUUUCUCUGUAUAGCCCUGGCUAUUCUAGAACUUACUUUGUAGACCAGGCUGGCCUCAAACUCAGAAAUCCACCUGCCUCUGCCUCCGAGUACUGGGAUUAAAGGCGUGUGCCACCAUGCCCGUCAUCCUCCUUAUUUUUCUUUGUCCAAGUUUUCUUUAUUCUUGACAAUCAAAUAAACUGGAUCACCUAGUACAGAUCUGACUUUUUGCAUUCAACAUUCUGUUUAUAAGACUUAUUCACAUUUAACAUGCAAUUUGAAACAAUCUGCGUUCAUUGCUCUAUCAUAUCCUGCCCAAAUAUUUUUUAUUAGAUAUUUUCUUUAUUUACAUUUCAAAUGUUAUCCCCUUUCCUAGUUUCCCCUCCGAAAAUCCCCUAUCCCCUCUCUCCUCCCCCUGCUCCCCAACUCACCCACUCCUGCUUCCUGGCCCUGUCAUUCCCCUAUACUGGGGCAUAGAACCUUCACAGGACCAAGGGCCUCUCCUCCCAUUGAUAACCAACUAGGCCAUCCUCUGCUACAUAUGCAGCUAGAGCCAUGAGUCCUACCAUAUGUACUCUUUGGUUGGUGGUUUAGUCCCAGGGAUCUCUGGGGAUACUGGUUAGUUCAUAUUGUUGUUCCUCCUAUGGGGCUGCAAACCCCUUCGACUCCUCGGGUCCUUUCUCUAGCUCCUUCAUUGGGGACCCUGUGCUCUGUCCAAUGGAUGGCUGUGAGCAUUCACUUCUGUAUUUGCCAGAUACUGGCAGAGCCUCUCCGGCUCUCAAGAGAUAGCAAUAUCAGGUUCUUGUCAGCAAAAUCUUGUUAGCAUCUGCAAUAGUGUCUGGGUUGGGUGGUUGUUUAUGGGAUGGAUCCCCAGGUGGGGCAGUUUCUGGAUGGUCGUUCCUCCAAAUCUUAUUUAUUCGCUCUAUUGUUAAUAUUUAGGUCAUUUCUAGCUUAGGACUUUUUUUUUUUUAAAGAUUUGUUUAUUUAUUUUAUAAAUAUGAGUACAGUGUUGCUGUCUUCAGACACACCAGAAGAGGGCAUCAGAUCUCAUUACAGAUGGUUGUGAGCCACCAUAUGGUUGCUGGGAAUUGAACUCAGGACCUCUGGAAGAACAGUCAGUGCUCUUAACUGCUGAGCCAUCUCUCCAGCCCCAGGACUUUUUUUUUAAAGAUUUAUUUAUUUAUUUUAUGCAUGUGAGUACACUGUCACUCUCUUCAGACACACCAGAAGAGGGCAUCAGAUCACAUUACAGAUGGUUGUGAGCCACCAUGUGGUUGCUGGGAAUUGAACUCAGGACCUCCGGAAGAGCAGUCAGUGCUCUUAACUGCCGAGCCAUCUCUCCAGACCCCUAGCUUAGGACUUUUUUUUCAAUGAAGUUCCUGUAAGCAUCUUCUCAGGUUUCUGGUGGGCGUACAGACACUUAUUUUUCUUGUGGAGGGGGGAACCUUGUGGAGGAUAUGGAGUUCUAGCCUGGAAAUUGCGGCUGCCAGUAAAGGAAUCCUGGGACUGACGUGAUAUCCUGAGGCUUUUUGGGGAUGGGGGCAUUGUUUGUUUUGGGGUUCCUUUGUAUUUCUCUCACUGCUAUGGAUCAAACCCAGGUCCUUACUCCAGUCAGGGACACACUCUACUACUGAAAUAUACCCUUACCCAAGGAAUGAAGUUCUGUCUGAGGCUCUGGGCCAUUCUAGUUCUAAGGAGCUUGAUUUAGCAGAAAGCAGGUAGAGACCCUGGGACCCCAAGCACUUAGGAGAGGCUAAUUUGUGAGUUCUGUUCCACUGAGGUUCUGGGCGUCCCAGAAGGAGCAACUAAUGAAGAAAUACAUCGGAGUUACCGGGACCUGGUGAAAGUCUGGCACCCAGAUCACAACCGGCACCAGACGGAGGAGGCCCAGAGACACUUCCUGGAGAUCCAGGCUGCGUAUGAAGUCUUGAGUCAGCCCAAGAAGCCUAGAGCAUCCUAGAGGUGAAAAGCAACCACUUGAGGAUGGACUCAGUCUUGUCAGCACCAUCCUCAAAACCCAGGACCUGACAGUUAAAGAAACUGCUGGCAGCAGAGGGGAGGGAAACCUUACAGGGAUGAGAAGGGUAGAGAAUAUAUUUAUGUGUUGAAUUCUUGACUACCGUCUCCUCGAUUAUACUCUCUUAAGACGGAAAAGUAAAAGGAAUAUUAUAAAAUUAAUAAAAAUAUAUCUUUCAAAGGCUAUACCACGG